Molecule: ribosomal RNA, 208 nt
Filed under: uncultured bacterium
Lineage: Bacteria
Description: partial 16S ribosomal RNA
Rfam family: Bacterial small subunit ribosomal RNA
Source: RNAcentral
AGCGCAGGCGGCCAAGUCAGUCUGAAGUGAAAGCCCGGGGCUUAACCCCGGAAUAGCUUUGGAUACUGCCUGGCUUGAGUGUGCGAUAGGAAAGCGGAAUUCCAGGUGUAGCGGUGAAAUGCGUAGAUAUCUGGAGGAACACCGGUGGCGAAAGCGGCUUUCUGGCGCAUAACUGACGCUGAGGCUCGAAAGCGUGGGGAGCGAACGG